Molecule: non-coding RNA, 4497 nt
Organism: Vicugna pacos (alpaca)
Lineage: Eukaryota; Metazoa; Chordata; Mammalia; Artiodactyla; Camelidae
Source: RefSeq, a predicted model, not a curated record
AAGAUUCAAUCUGAAAAUAGAUAAGGAAACUUGUCUCAUAUGUUACUGUAAAUGCAGGUAUUUUCCUUUAGUUAUAUGCAGAAAUUCAGCUCGAUGAGCUUGCCAAGGAAAGUCAUCAGUCUCUGUAAAUACCAAAGUGUGUUCCUUAAAGAACUUAAUGGACAGACUUUGGAAGUAUGAAGUAUGGUUGUUUUAAAAGAAAUAUAUUUUUCUGUUAAAGAGCACAAAGGUUAUACGUAAGAAUGUAUAUUACAUGGUAACUGAGGAAAAUACUAGUUUCUUAAAGUUAUAAAAUUAGUACAAUGUAAAUAUGAAUCAGAUUAUACUAAAAUUUUUGAAAGUAGUACUAUUUAAAUAUCUUAGUCAAGAUUGAGCCGUGUAAUGAGCUACACACAAAAUGGUUCUAAGUCUAAACAAACUUUUGUCCUCUAAUAAGAAAGAUUUUUUUAAUUCACAAUUUUUUUGCGUGUUGUUGGUAAUUCCCUUGUAAAGAAAAACAGUUGUGUGGUCCUGUGAUCAUUGUAUUAGUUCAGGAUUUAACCAGAGAAGUAGAACUAGUAGUAGGUAUGUACAUUAAGAGAUUUUUUACAAGGAAUUGGCUUAUAUGAUUGUGGGGGCUGGCUCAGCAAGUCCAAAAUCCAUAAAACAGGCCGUCAAGAAGGGACGUUCAGGGCAUACGCUGUUAUCCACAGGUGAAACGUCUUCUUUCUCUGCCUCAGUCUUGCUUUUAAGGCCUUCUAACUGAGUGAGUGAGACCCACCAGAUUAUCCAGGAUAAUCUUCCUUAUUUAAAGUUAGUUGAUUAGGGACCUCAAUCAUAUCUGCAAAAUCCCUUCAUAGCAACACCUCGAUUAAUGUUUAAUUGAAUAACUGGGAGCUGUAACCUUGCCAAGUUAGCACAUCAUUAUAAGAAAAUAGUUGCUUUGCCUUUCUGCAGUGUAAAUGCAAAAAUAUUUAAAUACUCAGUAAAUAAUUGAUAACAUAUAGCCAAAGAUAACUAAUAAAGACAAAAGCCAAGCCUUCAGUUCAGUACAGAAUUGACCACUGAGGAUAUAUAAGGAGCCAUUAAAUUUGAACUUGCUUUUGUGUGGCACAAAUACUGGCCUGGGGAGGGAUGAAUUCUUAUGUAUACCUAUGAGAUGUUUCCCCCACCAGAACACAAGUCUUCAGUUUGGGGUUUCCCAGACUGUACUUGGGGUGGAAAUUCAAACCGUAAAUCUAUGGAAAAUGAGAGCUGUGGUGACAGUCACAGGAGAUAAUAUUUCCCCAUCUAUUCUUGGCCAACAAUGACUAGUGUCCCUGUCAUCUCCCUUUGCUGACAGGCUGAUUUUUCCCCCUAUUCUUUCAGUGAAGAUGCAGCUCUAUUACAGAUACUGACUUUGUGCAGAGAUUUCACAUCCAACUCAGGAUCCACCUUGAAUGGGUCCGUGAACUUAUUCCAAUCUCAGAGGGCCCAUUAGUGCACCACCUCUUGGUCAGGAAGAUGGACAAGUGCUCCCAGUACAGCCCUGGCUUCACCUCUGCCUUAACACUCUCAUCUUCAGCUCUGUUUAGAGACUCUAGGGGUUUCCUUAUUUUCUUAUAAUAAUCAAAGUUGUUAACUGUGUAUAUUUAUUUUUUAAGCAUUUCUCAGCAUGUUGUUGAGGGCGGUUUUUCGGGGUAUGACUACUUCAGCCCUGUCCUUGGAGCUUAGCUGGGAUAAUUCUGAAGUGUGAAGUGCUCUAUACCAUCUCCCAAAGCUUCCUCCAGGAUUGAGCUUCAGUGGAGCUGGAGUUUAAGAAUGCACCCCUUAGUGGCCACCUUCUAGAAUGCACCCUCUAUUGACCGCUUUCUGAUGGUACUUCCCCAUUCUGGGGCUAGCGCCCUAUCACCAAAGACCUAAGGGUCCUUACCCUUAUUUCUGGGCAUGUCUGUUUCUUUUAUGUAUUGCCCACCUAAUACUACGUGCUUCUAGGAACUAGGCAUGCUUGUAGGUGCUUCUAGAGGAAGCCUUUAGAAUAUCCUGUUGGUGCCUCCUAGUGCCCACAUUUUGUUUCAGCAAAUGAUACUAUACAGGCAAAAAAAAAAAUGCAUAUGCUUUACCAUUAACAAGGAAAAAAAAGCCAGUCUAUAAAACUGUACUAUGUAAAAAUGCAUACGAAUGCCUCAAAGAAAAUAUUUCAAAAGUGUAACAGCUCCCUUAAGAUGGGUUGCUGGUGCUUUCCCCCAACCUUUUUAUAAUUUCCAAAGUUUCUGUGAUGAACAUGUAUCCCUUUGAUAAACAGAGAAAAAAAAUCCCAACAUUUAAAAAAAAUCAUAGCAAUAUUUUUUUAAAGUGGGAGAGAGAACUGAACAGGAACUGGAGGCUUCUUUCUAGACCUCCUUUAAAGAGAAGACUGCUUCCUGUCACUGUGCCUGUCAUCUCUUUUUUUUCCCCCUACUCUUUGCUCUGGCCUUGAUCUGUCUUAGCUAGCAUUUAAACUGGUCCUAGUAAGCCCAGCUCACCAGGUUUUAUUACAUGAAUAUGUUUUCUUUUGCAUCUCUAAGCAUCUUAAGUAUUGUCCAGGGCUUUUUUUUUUUUUUAAACUCUAGAAACUUCACUUGGGUUAGCUCUGCUGGGAAGCUGUUUGUACAGAGAAAAGGACAUAGGCCUGACUUGGUUGAACUGGACUCUGCCUUGCUCUCUGUUACCUGCUGGGACUUUGAACGAAUUACUUGAAUACUCUUGAGUCUCAGCUUGUUCAUUUACGCUCUCAGAUUAGAAGUGAUAGCAGCCCUACUCAAACUGCUUUGAUGCAAUCAUAGCCUCUUGGAAGUACUCAUGGAAGGCCUGGCUACCCAAGCUUCGGAAAUACAGGACUCUUUAACUACUGAUCUAGAAAUGGAAACACCAGGGAGUUUUUUGUUUUGGGUUUUGUUUUUUUUCCUGCCUCUUGUCCCUACUUCUCCCUACGUGUCCAUUUUAUCCUCUACAUGUUUUCUAGGUUUUAUGUCUUCUGUCUCUGUCACCAGGAAUAGAAUUAAAAUCCUGGGGAAAAAAUUAUUGGUCAGUUGUGAGUAAGGGCCUGCAUCUGACCCAGGUGUACAGCAUCGGGUAAGAACUAGGCUAUGUCUCCUGGUAAAUGGGCAGGGUUAGUUCCUAGAAGCCUAGGUAUUUGGUGGGCAAGCCCAUAGGUGUCCUUUUUAAGCCCCUUCCCUAUAGCAUUUGGUAAGAGUUUUGAGACAAUAUAUGUGAAGUUCAUUAAUUCUUCUAACCGACACCUCUCCAGUGCCUACUACCUGAUAAGCACAGUUCCAGGCAAUGGAGAAUCAACAGAGAACCAAACAGAUGAGCAGCCUUAUUUUAAUGAAGUUUAGGUGAAGACACAGCAUUCACCAGACUUUGAGAGACGACUUAGUGGGAUAUUUGGAACCAAAGGGUGAGUGCACACGCGCGUGACUCUUAAAAUAGGCUGUGUGUCUGUGAAGCCCUAUGUGAGUCUCUCGGACCAACACGGAUCGCUUUCCUUUGCUCGGUUUUCUCUAGUCAUUACUUGAACUUGCUCCUCCUGGACCACUCAACCUCACAAGCACGACUUACUUAACCUUCUCCCGAGCUGCCUCGGUGUUGCAGGCACCUGCCCCCCUCCCCCAGCUCACUGCCGCACUGCUAUGGUUUCCCACCAGAGACUCUGAAGCUCUGUUUUAUGAACUACUUUGAAAGCGACCAAUUAAGUUGCAAUUAAAGAAGCACAUCUACAUCACAGAAUCAUUUCCUCUUUUAAAAAGAGCAGUUGCAGAAAGUGCUGGUUUCCUGAUCCAGGUCCUACAUGCCUUAAGUUAAUUCUUGAUCACGUGCCACUGAAACUACCUCUAAAAAACUUUUUGGUUAAACAAUAACCUUUCCCUCAUUUCCACUUUCCUCUACGCUUUCCUUAUUACCUACCUUUGGUGCUAGACUUUCUUUAAUUACUCAAGUUACAGUGCAAAAUUAUACUACAAGACACAUGAUGCCAACACUUGUUACUUCUUCGUGUUAAAACGUGAAUGUUUUGUGCUUAGCAAAAGAAGUAUGAACCCAAAAAAAUAACUGUUCACAUUCUGUCUUCAAGUUUAAUAUGUCUUUUUUUUUCCAUCACAGCUAUUUACAAUAACUUUGGAGUGCUCUCUUGAUUUCAGUCAGUUCAUUGUAUCAGGGGACAACAGGGCUGCUGGAAUGUAGGAAGCUGGAUGGAAUGCAGAAAUAUAAAUAAGACCAAAGUUCCAUAAACCAAAGUGUAAAUAAUGCCUCCCCAGAAAACAGUUCUCGUCACAGAAGCACCUGUUUUUUGCUUAAAUCUUUUUGUCAUAUACACCAGAAAACAUGACUAUGGAGACCUAGAACUACUUGCACACCAAAGAGGAUAGAAAAUAACUCAAUAUUUAUAAUAUUAAAAUAAAGUGUUUAACCACAAAAAAGCAGUAAUAAAAUAGUUUCCUAAUUUACAAUUUGCAUCCAAAGGAUGAAUAACAACUCACUAAUAAAUAAUAUUUAUAUAAA